This 444-nucleotide ribosomal RNA is filed under the name uncultured bacterium. Its description in RNAcentral is "bacterial SSU rRNA". It matches the Rfam family "Bacterial small subunit ribosomal RNA", at positions 29 to 507 of the family's 1533-position model. The record is from RNAcentral.
AACGAACGCUGGCGGCAUGCCUAACACAUGCAAGUCGAACGAGACCCCGACUUUGGUUGGACGUUUAGUGGCGCACGGGUGGGUAACGCGUGGGAAUUUGCCCUUGGGUUUGGGAUAACAGUUGGAAACGACUGCUAAUACCGGAUGAUGACUUCGGUCCAAAGAUUUAUUGCCCAGGGAUGAGCCCGCGUAGGAUUAGCUAGUUGGUGAGGUAAAGGCUCACCAAGGCGACGAUCCUUAGCUGGUUUGAGAGGAUGAUCAGCCACACUGGGACUGAGACACGGCCCAGACUCCUACGGGAGGCAGCAGUGGGGAAUAUUGGACAAUGGGGGAAAGCCUGAUCCAGCAAUGCCGCGUGAGUGAUGAAGGCCUUAGGGUUGUAAAGCUUUUUUACCCGGGAUGAUAAUGACAGUACCGGGAGAAUAAGCCCCGGCUAACUCCGUG